Molecule: long non-coding RNA, 824 nt
Filed under: Oryza brachyantha (malo sina)
Lineage: Eukaryota; Viridiplantae; Streptophyta; Magnoliopsida; Poales; Poaceae
Description: long non-coding RNA (OBRA_LNC001474)
Source: RNAcentral
GCUUAUUGAAAUAUAAUUAGCAAUUCUCAUGCCGGUUAAGUUUUGAAAGAAAAAAAUACUCCAUAUUUCUACAUCUCCAUUAUACUUAUACAUAUCGAACUUGGCAGAUAGAUCCUUUCCUUGCCUUCAUUCAAUCUAAGAAAACGAAAAAAAAAGACACUCUGUACUAGAGACAAACGACUGAACAAAAGAUGGGAAGAAGACACAAGGAUACCAUAUCUACUAUAAAAGAGAGUUGUGGUGGUGGUGGUGAUGAAUUUGCUAAUAUAUAUAUCAAACCAUUUUAUUAACUCUACUUUAACAAUAUGCUAAUAAUAUUUUUAAUAAAAUCCCGUUGCAACGUAUGGGUAAUAUGCUAGUAUACCAUAUGCAUCUACUUCGUCCGCAGAGGUACGAGACGGACAGACAGCCUGUUGCCAUCUAAUUGUAGCUUGCUUCCCUUCUGAAGCUGCUGCGAUCUGCAGCCUUCUUCUGGCUUGCGUCGUCGCCUUCGUUGCCCGGCGCCGCCACGAGGCUGCUGAUGCUCCUCACUAUCCGGAGCUUGACCUGCCCUCUCUUCAGCGGCGGCCGCUUCUCCUUCGCCGUGUUAGCGCUGCUGCCCAGGUACUGGCAGUAGCUGUACUGAUCCAUCACCUGCACUGCUGCACACUGCAAACGCACUAGCUGCUACUACACUCUCUAGCUCUGUCAAUCUCUGUGUGUGUGAGAGAGAGGAGGCCAAGUGCUCUGAUGGGUGUGUAGCAAGGGGAUGAGAUAGAAGUAUUUAUAGGCAAAUGUUCUAUGGUCGCCUUGUGUGAACGCAUGCGAGCAUAUAUGAAGUGAUA